Molecule: ribosomal RNA, 772 nt
Filed under: uncultured bacterium
Lineage: Bacteria
Description: bacterial SSU rRNA
Rfam family: Bacterial small subunit ribosomal RNA
Source: RNAcentral
AGAGUUUGAUCAUGGCUCAGGACGAACGUUGGCGGCGUGCUUAACACAUGCAAGUCGAACGGUGAACCUCCUUCGGGAGGGGAUCAGUGGCGAACGGGUGAGUAACACGUGAGCAACCUGCCCCUAGUUCUGGGAUAACUCCGGGAAACCGGUGCUAAUACCGGAUACGAGACCAAGCGGCAUCACAAGGUCUUGAAAGUUUUUCGACUAGGGAUGGGCUCGCGGCCUAUCAGCUUGUUGGUGAGGUAACGGCCCACCAAGGCGACGACGGGUAGCCGGCCUGAGAGGGCGACCGGCCACACUGGGACUGAGACACGGCCCAGACUCCUACGGGAGGCAGCAGUGGGGAAUAUUGCGCAAUGGGCGAAAGCCUGACGCAGCGACGCCGCGUGAGGGAUGAAGGCCUUCGGGUUGUAAACCUCUUUCAGCAGGGAAGAAGCGAAAGUGACGGUACCUGCAGAAGAAGCACCGGCUAACUACGUGCCAGCAGCCGCGGUAAUACGUAGGGUGCAAGCGUUGUCCGGAAUUAUUGGGCGUAAAGAGCUCGUAGGCGGUCUGUCGCGUCGGAUGUGAAAACCCAGGGCUCAACCCUGGGCCUGCAUUCGAUACGGGCAGACUAGAGUUCGGUAGGGGAGACUGGAAUUCCUGGUGUAGCGGUGAAAUGCGCAGAUAUCAGGAGGAACACUGGUGGCGAAGGCGGGUCUCUGGGCCGAAACUGACGCUGAGGAGCGAAAGCGUGGGGAGCAAACAGGAUUAGAUACCCUAGUAGUCC